This 421-nucleotide ribosomal RNA is filed under the name uncultured bacterium. RNAcentral describes it as "partial 16S ribosomal RNA". It matches the Rfam family "Bacterial small subunit ribosomal RNA", at positions 360 to 774 of the family's 1533-position model. The record is from RNAcentral.
AAUCUUCCACAAUGGACGAAAGUCUGAUGGAGCAACGCCGCGUGAGUGAAGAAGGUUUUCGGAUCGUAAAACUCUGUUGUGGGAGAAGAACGUAUUUGAUAGUAACUGAUCAGGUAGUGACGGUAUCCAACCAGAAAGCCAUGGCUAACUACGUGCCAUCAGCCGCGGUAAUACGUAGGUGGCAAGCGUUGUCGGAUUUAUUGGGCGGAAAGCGAGGGCGUGCGGUUUCUUAGUUCUGAUAUGAAAGCCUUCGGCUCAACCGAAGAAGUGCAUCGGAAGCUAGGAAACUUGAGUGCAGAAGAGGACAGUGGAACUCCAUGUGUAGCGGUGAAAUGCGUAGAUAUAUGGAAGAACACCAGUGGCGAAGGCGGCUGUCUGGUCUGUAACUGACGCUGAGGCUCGAAAGCAUGGGUAGCAAACA